GAUGAACGCUGGCGGCGUGCUUAACACAUGCAAGUCGAACGGGAAAUUCUUCAUUGAGACUUCGGUGGAUUUGAUUUAUUUCUAGUGGCGGACGGGUGAGUAACGCGUGGGUAACCUGCCUUAUACAGGGGGAUAACAGUCAGAAAUGGCUGCUAAUACCGCAUAAGCGCACAGAGCUGCAUGGCUCAGUGUGUAAAACUCCGGUGGUAUAAGAUGGACCCGCGUUGGAUUAGCUAGUUGGUGGGGUAACGGCCCACCAAGGCGACGAUCCAUAGCCGGCCUGAGAGGGUGAACGGCCACAUUGGGACUGAGACACGGCCCAGACUCCUACGGGAGGCAGCAGUGGGGAAUAUUGCACAAUGGGGGAAAGCCUGAUGCAGCGACGCCGCGUGAAGGAAGAAGUAUCUCGGUAUGUAAACUUCUAUCAGCAGGGAAGAUAAUGACGGUACCUGACUAAGAAGCCCCGGCUAACUACGUG
RNAcentral lists this ribosomal RNA (478 nucleotides) under uncultured bacterium. RNAcentral describes it as "partial 16S ribosomal RNA". It matches the Rfam family "Bacterial small subunit ribosomal RNA", at positions 28 to 507 of the family's 1533-position model. The record is from RNAcentral.